RNAcentral lists this ribosomal RNA (253 nucleotides) under uncultured bacterium. RNAcentral describes it as "partial 16S ribosomal RNA". It matches the Rfam family "Bacterial small subunit ribosomal RNA", at positions 524 to 776 of the family's 1533-position model. The record is from RNAcentral.
UACGUAGGGUGCAAGCGUUGUCCGGAAUUAUUGGGCGUAAAGAGCUCGUAGGCGGUUCGUCACGUCGGCUGUGAAAUCCCGAGGCUCAACCUCGGGUCUGCAGUCGAUACGGGCGGACUGGAGUACUGCAGGGGAGACUGGAAUUCCUGGUGUAGCGGUGAAAUGCGCAGAUAUCAGGAGGAACACCGGUGGCGAAGGCGGGUCUCUGGGCCAUUACUGACGCUGAGGAGCGAAAGCGUGGGGAGCGAACAGG